CGUCACGCCGACCUUCCCAAGUCUAUAUGGCAAUUCCUGCUCAACUACGGAGAUUCCGAUAAAAAUUCCGGUUUAAAUCGUUCAAGUAGAUUAGACUAUAAAUGAACGAAACCAAAAAUUGAGAUCCUGGUCCUGGCUGAAAUUUAGAGUAUUGUAGCUGUACAUAGCCUGUACCAUACAUUCAACAUGAAAAGGACUGUUAGCUAGAGCCUAGAAUGAUAAUUUCUUGGGAAUAUGCUGAAAGUAACAGACGGGGAGCAGUUUUUCUUACCAAUCAUAGAAGCAGUAAGAGACAGCCAAAGAAGUACUCAAACACUUGACAUACACAUAUUGUAGCUUAAUUGUUAAAACUAUUAAAGUGAAUUUAAGCUGCACUUGAACUGUAUUUUUGAAAUAAAAUAUCUGAAGUAUUUAAUAUUGUCUUGAUAUUUUGUUAAACUUGGUUACUUUGCUUUAUAUCCAAAAAUUAAAGUAUGGUUGGUUUUCAACGUUGAAAUGACAUUGAAACUUCAACGUUGUGCCAAUGUUGAAGCUGCAACGUUGUAUCAACGUUGAAAUUUCAACGUUGUUUAAACUUUCAAAUCCGAAUAUAAAUCCAACCUUAUUUCAACGUUGAAAUCUGACCAU
Long non-coding RNA from Ruditapes philippinarum (Manila clam), 627 nucleotides. RefSeq lists it as uncharacterized. The transcript is spliced from 4 exons. NCBI's taxonomy places the organism in Eukaryota, Metazoa, Mollusca, Bivalvia, Venerida, Veneridae. The record is from RefSeq and is a predicted model, not a curated record.